GAUGAACGCUGGAGGCGUGCCUAAUACAUGCAAGUCGAGCGAACAGAUGAGGAGCUUGCUCCUCUGACGUUAGCGGCGGACGGGUGAGUAACACGUGGAUAACCUACCUAUAAGACUGGGAUAACUUCGGGAAACCGGAGCUAAUACCGGAUAAUAUAUUGAACCGCAUGGUUCAAUAGUGAAAGACGGUUUUGCUGUCACUUAUAGAUGGAUCCGCGCCGCAUUAGCUAGUUGGUAAGGUAACGGCUUACCAAGGCAACGAUGCGUAGCCGACCUGAGAGGGUGAUCGGCCACACUGGAACUGAGACACGGUCCAGACUCCUACGGGAGGCAGCAGUAGGGAAUCUUCCGAAAUGGGCGAAAGCCUGACGGAGCAACGCCGCGUGAGUGAUGAAGGUCUUCGGAUCGUAAAACUCUGUUAUUAGGGAAGAACAAAUGUGUAAGUACCUAUGCACGUCUUGACGGUACCUAAUCAGAAAGCCACGGCUAGCUACGUG
RNAcentral lists this ribosomal RNA (497 nucleotides) under uncultured bacterium. RNAcentral describes it as "partial 16S ribosomal RNA". It matches the Rfam family "Bacterial small subunit ribosomal RNA", at positions 28 to 507 of the family's 1533-position model. The record is from RNAcentral.